CUUUAGCUCUAGCAAAUUGAAGUGUUUGGGUAAGAUAGUACUCGUUCUACCUUUUCCCCCCACUUUUUCUUUUGGUCUCUCUUGUGCUCUUGGGGCGGUUAGAGUGAGAGUGCUUGGGGGGGGGGGGGGGAGGAGGAAUAUCUUGGAUC
Caenorhabditis elegans is the source of this 149-nucleotide non-coding RNA. The record is from Ensembl. Lineage: Eukaryota; Metazoa; Nematoda; Chromadorea; Rhabditida; Rhabditidae.